RNAcentral lists this ribosomal RNA (425 nucleotides) under uncultured bacterium. RNAcentral describes it as "partial 16S ribosomal RNA". It matches the Rfam family "Bacterial small subunit ribosomal RNA", at positions 359 to 775 of the family's 1533-position model. The record is from RNAcentral.
GAAUAUUGGACAAUGGGGGGAACACUGAUCCAGCCAUGCCGCGCGUGUGAAGAAGGCCUUUUGGUUGUAAAGCACUUUAAGCGAGGAGGAGGAGCUCUUGGUUAAUCCCCAAGAUGCUUGGACGUUACUUGCAGAAUACGCACCGGCUAACUCUGUGCAAGCAUCCGCGGUAAUCCAAAGGGUGCAAGCGUGAAUCGGAUUUACUGGGCGUAAAGCGGGCGUAGGUGGCCAAUUAAGUCAAAUGUGAAAUCCCCGAGGUUAACUUGGGAAUUGCAGUCGAUACUGGUUGGCUAGAGUAUGGGAGAGGAUGGUAGAAUUCCAGGUGUAGCGGUGAAAUGCGUAGAGAUCUGGAGGAAUACCGAUGGCGAAGGCAGCCAUCUGGCCUAAUACUGACACUGAGGUGCGAAAGCAUGGGGAGCAAACAG